GCGACCCCAGGUUAGGUGGGGCUACCUGCUAAA
This 33-nucleotide ribosomal RNA is filed under the name Musa acuminata subsp. errans (monkey banana). RNAcentral describes it as "partial 26S ribosomal RNA". Lineage: Eukaryota; Viridiplantae; Streptophyta; Magnoliopsida; Zingiberales; Musaceae. The record is from RNAcentral.